This 252-nucleotide ribosomal RNA is filed under the name uncultured bacterium. RNAcentral describes it as "partial 16S ribosomal RNA". It matches the Rfam family "Bacterial small subunit ribosomal RNA", at positions 524 to 776 of the family's 1533-position model. The record is from RNAcentral.
UACGUAGGGGGCAAGCGUUGUCCGGAUUUAUUGGGCGUAAAGAGCGUGUAGGCGGUUUGGUAGGUCCGUUGUGAAAACUCGAGGCUCAACCUCGAGACGUCGGCGGAAACCAUCUGGCUAGAGUCCGGAAGAGGAGAGUGGAAUUCCUGGUGUAGCGGUGAAAUGCGCAGAUAUCAGGAAGAACACCCGUGGCGAAGGCGGCUCUCUGGGACGGUACUGACGCUGAGACGCGAAGCGUGGGGAGCGAACAGG